AAUAAGAAAAUAAUAAAUUAAUACAUAAAUAAAUAAGAAAAAAAAAAUUAUUAGGUCAUAAAUUCCCACUAUAUAAGCCAAAUGUUAACCUAGAGCAGCUUUUUGGAAAACACAUUCUGUUCCUUUCUUCUUUUCUGACGCACAAGAACCCUAACAGAGCAAUCAGAGGAGGAGCUCUAGAGAGCACCAGAGACGCCACCAUUGCUAACAGAGAACAUUUAAGCGACUACCUCAAGGUAAGGGAUGAGUUACUCACGCUUGGGGAUUAGAAUGAACAUGUGUAGGGAUCCCUAGAGGAUCAAUUUUUGGGUUAUUUUGGGGUGUUUAUGAAUUUAAUUAUGUUUUCAUGUUUAAUCGCGGAUUGAGUGUGCUUGAUGAACCAAUUGGUGUUCUGUUGCGAGUUUGUUGUAGAAUUGAUGUGUUCUGUUGCGAGUUUGUUGUAGGAUUAAUGUGUUUCUCUGUUAGGUGUGUACCUUAGGAAUUAGAAUUCUUUAUAAUUAACAUAAAAAUUGUGUGGUGAUGAUUUUGUUUAUACCAGAUAUGUUGGCCUUUCAAUCUUGUUCCUGUGCUAAUGUAUAUUGUGUCCAGAUAAUUAUUUUUACACCGCAGUGUAUACGUGUACAUAUAUAUUGAUACUAUUUUUUUUACAAACUGUAUAUUUUAUUUCACGUGGGUGAUUUCUUGUCAUGAAAUUCAUAGGUGUAGGGAUUGUUGGAUAAUUGAAUUGGCUAAAAUCAUUUAAAGAAAUUAACUAAAGUUGUAUUCACAUUGUAAUUAGGCAUUUUCUUGAUGUUGACAACUUAGUUGAAAUAUAUUUAAAAUAUAGGUAUACAUGUUGUUCAUAGAAAUCAAUAUGAGUAUAUAUUUUAUUGUUAUAUAUAAUUUGUAUUUACUUAAUAAUAUAUUUGAUAUUAUUGUGAUUACUUUAUAUUAAUAUAUAUUUAAUACUUUUUAUAUGUUAUAUGUGAUAUGUACGUUUACGUUUACGUUAAUAUAUAUAUUUUGUUAUAUAUUUUGAAUAUAAUAUACUUAUAUAUAUAUUUUACGUGUAUUUUAUAGUUACUUGUUUAUAAGCCUUGAAGUUAAAUAUUGUAUGUUAUUAUUAUUAUGAUACAUUGUUAUCUAAUUGUUGAGUAUAUUUUGUAAUUAGUUAGAGUGUGAAAUGUUAAACUGUAGACAUGAAACAUGGUUGUGAAUGAGUGUGUGAUUGAUAUUUGUAGAGAUAUUACUUGUCAUGUAAGUUAUGAGUUAUACAGUAACCCGACCAGUGUGUACCUUGAGAGAACUUUUAUGCGCAGUGUUAAAGAAAAUUGUAGGAUUCCUAGUUAGGAUCCUGAAGGGUUAAACUAUAGCGCAAUUUGUUAAAUAUGUUUGAAAUAUAAGAGUAAGGUCGUGGGUAUUAUAUAACUCAUAAACAGUGUCUGCGUGCAAAUAAAAAAAUAAUAUUUUAGGGGUUGGACCUGAAUCAGGAAGGUGAGGCCCAAACGGAUUCUUCGGAGUCUAGGCCUUGGGGGUAAAGAUACUCGGUUUGAGUGCUCCUUUAAGCCCAUGUUGAUCCCAUGUGGUUGGGGCAUUCUCGCAAAACAGAGUAACCCUGACUGGUCACCUUAUGAUGUUACUUAGUGAGAGUGACCGAGUAUACCCAUUGUGUGGUGUGCUUUGUCAUGUACUCCUAAGCGCCCCAGUGUUGUUUUUCACUGACAUGGUACCACAUUGCAUAUAGGCUUGAGUCUUAGUGUAAUUGUUGCAUAACGCUUGUGUUUGAAUUUCAUUGAGUUAACAAUUGUGGUUGAUGUUAUUUUAUGGAGUGUGUAAACUUGAAUGGGUGUGAAUAAUGUGUGCGAUUUUGUGCAGUAAUGCUAUUUAUAUAAAUUCAGCUUUAAGUAUUAUAUGUUUCACAUGCUCUAAUGUUUUAUUAUAUACGAAUGUGAUAACUCACUCCCGGUGUGUGUUUGUGUUUGGGCUGAUUGCCACUUUGUUUCAAGUGAGCCUUCAUAUGAUGAGUCACAUGCUAGAGAUGGAGAGACUUAGUCUGUGAUAGGGAUUAUGAUUUACUGAAUGAUAUAAUUAAGUUAUACUUUUCUUCUUUAGUUUCUUUUUAUUAUUUAUUUAGAGUGAACGGCCUUGUUUUGAGCCGAGAUAAUCUUAUCUCUUAUUAAAAAAAAUAUAUAUUCUAUUAUGUUUUCACUAAGUGGAUGUGAACCUUUACCCUUUUGAAUUGAUUUAAAUUAAAUGUGUUUAAAAAGAAAAAUUAUUAAUAAAUUUUGCAUUUUUUUCUUCUUUUAUUAUUAUGUGUUUAUAAUCUUUUAAAUAAAUUUUGUAUGAUUUAUUUUAUUAGUUAGUUACAAUUGUAAGGGUAGAGGGUGUCACAAGAGGGAUGCACCAGCUGCAGACCCUGAGGACUACAUACAGCCGCCCAGCCCCCAGGUUCCAGUGGCAUUUGACCCCCCUCCAUAUGUG
RNAcentral lists this long non-coding RNA (2460 nucleotides) under Glycine max (soybean). RNAcentral's name for it is "long non-coding RNA (GMAX_LNC000858)". The record is from RNAcentral. Lineage: Eukaryota; Viridiplantae; Streptophyta; Magnoliopsida; Fabales; Fabaceae.